AGAAGGUCUCUUUCCUCAUGGUCUUUAUGGUCAUGGGAGCUCAUCUCCUCUUUUGUGGGACCUACCAGGAGAGGAGCCAGCAGGACCUACAAUGCAGGUUGGCUACAGUGACUCAUGGGCUGCCUAAACCAUGCUGCCUGUUGAGGUCCAUCAAAAACCAGUCCUACAGCCGUGUCCCCUGCAUCAGCCCUGGAAAAAUCCAGAAGAAAUGAGAAAGCAGAGCCUCUCUGCAAACCAAGUGCAGCCGGGCCUCCGAGGUGCUUUGUGCAGCGCAGGAGUGGGCUCUUCUCCAGGGAGCCUCAAUCCAAGGCGAUAAGGCAGACAAAGCAAGCACGGAGAAAAACAGGCUCUUGGCGGAGAAAUGACAAGCCACAUGCAACGGGACACAGGAGACACCCACUCCCUGCCCCAUGUGUUGCACCGUGAUGAAUAACCAACCUCCUCCGUGCAGCGAGACACCUGGACCUGGUGCUGUUCCCUUGGGUGAGGAGCAGAGGGUCACAUCCUGGUGCCCAUCAGCUGCGACUUGAAAUAAAAUGUCCCAGAACUGAAUAGCAUGAAACUGUUUAUCGUGCCUGUGAAAACGUUGGGACAGGCAGGCAAGAGUGUGGAGCAAUCAUUUGCACAAGCAUCAAGGGCCAAGAAGUUUCAGCCAGAGCUGGCUAAGGUUCACUGGCAGGGCUACAGUUUAGCGCAGGUGGAUUCUGUGUUCUGUCUCCAUACAUCUCUUCCAGCUGUCAUUUUAAAAAGACAAAUACUGAGUGCAGUUCUGAGGAGAGAUGUGUACGUCCUGUGCUGCUGCACGCCAGCUGGGCUGCAGGAAGGCUCUUCUCUUUGGGCUUUCCUGAGGCUGCAGGUCCCUGAAGAGCUCCCUCCGUUGUGCUUCUCACCACCAAAGGCAGUCACGGCCAUGGGUGUUUCCAUAAAAGCUUGGGAUAGCCACAUUAAGGAAGAUGGCCUGGAAAAAAAAAAAAAAAAAAGAAAAAAAAAAAGAAAAAAAAAAAGAAAAUUAUACUGAGCAUACCUAAAAGCACUACCCUGGGGCAAAAGUGUGAAGUCACUGCAGAAAUGAGGGAGUUGCAGACAGGAGGACCCCCGUACUAAUCCAGUCCCUGGGAAGGGACAAGGCAAGGGCAGGCGGGGGCAGAGGCUGCACGCCCAGAGGUGCCACCCUGCUUUUUUGGAGCUUUCUGCCUUUUUGGAGGCUCGCUGGGGAACGAAAAUCUUCCAUCUCCUGCUGCCACAGACAAGGCUGGGUGCUGGCCCAAAUGUGGGUCAAGAGUGACACCCUGUGGACAACUUACUCUUUUUCUCGUCCUCCAGGAUUUUCUCUCCUGCUGCUUUCUUUUCUUUUCCUUUUUAUUUAUUUAUUUAUUCCUCCUUCCCCCUUGUCCCCCCCCCUGCUUUGCUUACACAAACACUGCAAGCACCCGGUUUGCACAGGGGUUGUUGCUGCAAGCUCAGCCAGCCCAGGCAAGCUGGGAGCAGCAUUUUUCCCCCCUGAAAAGUGAGGGGCUAUGUAAAGAGCCCCAGAUCUCCCUUCUGUUCCUUUUUUGGGUUGUCCCCAGUUUGCACUUGGUUUCAUCGGUAUCUCUCAGGGCCUGGCCAUCACUCCUGACCCCCAUCAGUGCCUCUGCUUUCCCUCUGCUUUUCAGCUCACCCCAGCUCUUCUGUCGUGCAGCUCAUCAGCUGGAGCACGGUGAGCUCCUGGGGCUCAUAAAUCUAGCUGCUGCUCACAAAAUUUGGCGAGUAUGACCCCAGGCUGUCUGUUAAACUGGGAGAGAAAUUGCACGGGCUUCCCUGCAGUCACCCCCCUGCCCUCCCCAAGCUGCCCUGGGUGAGGAUUCCUGCCUGAACAGAAAAACUCAUGAAAAAAAAAAAAAAAAAAAGGGGUUUUAUAGAGACUGCUUCUCCUCUGGUCACCAUAAUGGUCCCUUCCUAAUCUCAGACCUGCUGGGGGGUAGGACCAUGCUGUCCUGAUGCUCCUGGCAUUAUCCCCAGUGAGCAAGAUCUGAUGUCCCAGAACAGGGUGAUCGACACCAGCUGACAACCUGGACACCCCGUCUCCACAAAAUAAAAUAAAUAAAUAAAGUACAGUUUUAUUUUAAGCAACAAAUAAUUCCGUUUUAUACUGGUGAGAAAUUCCUCAUCACUCAUUUAAUUAUGCGGGCCUAAAAGAAACCAUAAUGUUCUGGCAUGCCUGUGUGCUGGGAGUGGGAAAGAGGGGGGUGUCAGAGCCCUUCCAAAAGUUUAUGUCCUUUCUUACCCCUGGCAGUUUAACCCUGCCAAAUCUGCACAAACCUAUAUAUAUCCGAAAGCCAAGGCUGGAAGGAGAUUCCUUAAAACCCGCAAAAGAAGCGAAUAUAAGGGCAGUAAUUUUUUCCAAUGACAUUUAUAUGCUGUCAUUAACUCUGCUUUAGCUGGUACAGUUUAAAGCUUUCAGAGAAUGUAACUUCAGCUGCACCAACUACCACAUGUUUUUGCUGACAGGAGCUGCGGGGUUUGCCUGGUCAGCCCACAUAGACUCUCUGCCUUUUCCAUAGUGUGCAAAAGCUCGACGAGGAAUAGGUCUUGUUGAGCAAAAAGUCAUUUUUGCUGUUAUUAUGCAAUUUUCAGCAA
This is a long non-coding RNA of Anas platyrhynchos (mallard), 2619 nucleotides long. RefSeq lists it as uncharacterized. The record is from RefSeq and is a predicted model, not a curated record. NCBI's taxonomy places the organism in Eukaryota, Metazoa, Chordata, Aves, Anseriformes, Anatidae.